Molecule: ribosomal RNA, 253 nt
Filed under: uncultured bacterium
Lineage: Bacteria
Description: partial 16S ribosomal RNA
Rfam family: Bacterial small subunit ribosomal RNA
Source: RNAcentral
UACGUAGGUGGCAAGCGUUACUCGGAAUUACUAGGCGUAAAGCGCAGGUAGGUGGUUGGAUAAGUCCGUAAUGAAAUCUCCCGGCUUAACUGGGAGGGGUUUGGGGAUACUGUCUGACUUGAGUGCAGGAGAGGUAACUGGAAUUCCCGGUGUAGCGGUGAAAUGCGUAGAGAUCGGGAGGAACACCUAAGGCGAAAGCAGGUUACUGGCCUAAUACUGACACUGAGCUGCGAAAGCUAGGGGAGCAAACAGG